CCUACGGGUGGCAGCAGUGAGGAAUAUUGGUCAAUGGACGCGAGCCUGAACCAGCCAAGUAGCGUGAAGGAUGACUGCCCUACGGGUUGUAAACUUCUUUUAUAUAGGAAUAAAAUGAUGCACGUGUGCCUUUUUGUAUGUACUUUAUGAAUAAGGAUCGGCUAACUCCGUGCCAGCAGCCGCGGUAAUACGGAGGAUCCGAGCGUUAUCCGGAUUUAUUGGGUUUAAAGGGAGCGUAGGUGGGUUGUUAAGUCAGUUGUGAAAGUUUGCGACUCAACCGUAAAAUUGCAGUUGAUACUGGCAGUCUUGAUUACAGUAGAGGUGGGAGGAAUGCGUGGUGGAGCGGUGAAAUGCUUAGAUAUCACGAAGAACUCCGAUUGAGAAGGCAGCUCACUGGACUGCAACUGACACGGAGGCUCGAAAGUGUGGGUAUCAAACAGGAUUAGAUACCCGAGUAGUC
Molecule: ribosomal RNA, 460 nt
Filed under: uncultured bacterium
Lineage: Bacteria
Description: partial 16S ribosomal RNA
Rfam family: Bacterial small subunit ribosomal RNA
Source: RNAcentral